This 104-nucleotide microRNA precursor is filed under the name Marmota monax (woodchuck). Lineage: Eukaryota; Metazoa; Chordata; Mammalia; Rodentia; Sciuridae. The record is from RNAcentral.
AGUGGGAUAACUGGGUCAAAUUGUGGUUCCAUUACAAGUUUUCUGAGGAAUCUCCCAUACUGCUUUUCAAAGUGGUUGCACCAAUUUGCAGUCCCACCAGCAAU